RNAcentral lists this unclassified non-coding RNA (297 nucleotides) under Hevea brasiliensis (rubber tree). The record is from RNAcentral. Lineage: Eukaryota; Viridiplantae; Streptophyta; Magnoliopsida; Malpighiales; Euphorbiaceae.
GCUUCUCAAGAUCAGAUAGCCCAAAAUAUUGUCUUGCUUUAUCAAUCAAAACUGGAUCAAUCUCCCAGCCUUCAAGCUGUAAUGAAGGCCACAAGUCAAGCAUCAAAUGUGCAGCAGUACCACCACCCAGGCCCAAGAUUGCAAUAGGACCUUUUGGUAUGACAGCUGGUAGACUAGCAAAUUCAUCCCAAUACGACCCAGUCCAUUUCUGACCCUUAUUAAGAAUGCUAUGAACAUUAUGAGUAGAAUCAAGGAGCAACAUCCUGGCUUUAGGCGUGUCCACGAUUAUGAUGUCAU